This 300-nucleotide unclassified non-coding RNA is filed under the name Phylloporus sp. Its description in RNAcentral is "partial contains small subunit ribosomal RNA and internal transcribed spacer 1". The stretch from base 1 to 46 matches the Rfam family "Eukaryotic small subunit ribosomal RNA", at positions 1786 to 1831 of the family's 1831-position model. The record is from RNAcentral. Lineage: Eukaryota; Fungi; Basidiomycota; Agaricomycetes; Boletales; Boletaceae.
AAGUCGUAACAAGGUUUCCGUAGGUGAACCUGCGGAAGGAUCAUUACAAUACGUAUCCACGUAUAAACCAAAGUUGCACUGUAAUUAGCGUCCGUUAGGUUUCUAAAAUUGUGGUAGUUGUUAAUGAGGUGUGUAAAAACCACUCUUUCCAACUUACUCUUUUUUUAAAACCUAGUACGCGUACUUUUCUACCAAUUCUUUAACCCAUUUCAUCCAAUUUCAAUCUGAACUUAAUCUGAUCUUGUUUUCCGAAAGGAAAAACGUUUGAUCAACAAUUACGAAACUUAAAAACAACUCUUA